CCUACGGGAGGCAGCAGUGGGGAAUCUUGCACAAUGGGGGCAACCCUGCUGCAGCGACGCCGCGUGCGUGAAGAAGUAUUUCGGUACGUAAAGCUCUAUCAGCAGGGACGACAAUGCCGGUACCUGACUAAGUCGCCCCGGCUCACUACGGUCCCGCAGCCGCGGUACUAAGUAAGGGGCAAGCGUUAGCCGGAUUUACUGGGGGUGAAGGGAGCGUAGACGGCAGCGCAAGUCUGGCGGGAAAUCCCAUGGGUUAACCAUGGAACUGCUUUGGAAACUGUGCAGCUGGAGUGAAGGAGAGGUAAGCGGAAUGCCUAGUGUAGCGGGGAAAUGCGUAGAUAUUAGGAGGAACACCAGUGGCGAAGGCGGAUUACUGGACUGUAACUGACGUUGAGGCUCGAAAGCGUGGGGAGCAAACAGGAUUAGAUACCCUGGUAGUC
RNAcentral lists this ribosomal RNA (440 nucleotides) under uncultured bacterium. Its description in RNAcentral is "partial 16S ribosomal RNA". It matches the Rfam family "Bacterial small subunit ribosomal RNA", at positions 338 to 795 of the family's 1533-position model. The record is from RNAcentral.